RNAcentral lists this ribosomal RNA (773 nucleotides) under uncultured Neocallimastigales. Its description in RNAcentral is "partial large subunit ribosomal RNA". It matches the Rfam family "Eukaryotic large subunit ribosomal RNA", at positions 24 to 645 of the family's 3401-position model. Lineage: Eukaryota; Fungi; Neocallimastigomycota; Neocallimastigomycetes; Neocallimastigales. The record is from RNAcentral.
UAUCUCUGUAGAGUCUGCAUAUCAAUAAGCGGAGGAAAAGAAACUAACAAGGAUUCCCUUAGUAACGGCGAGUGAAGCGGGAAGAGCUCAAAUUUGAAAUCUUCAAGGUUCUACCUUGACGAAUUGUAGUUUAUAGAAGUGUUCUCUGUUAGUGGAGUGGCAAAAGUUCUUUGGAAUAGGACAUCAUAGAGGGUGAGAAUCCCGUAUUUGGUCAUUCCUCCUAGCGUUGUGAUACACUUUCAACGAGUCGGAUUGUUUGGGAAUGCAGUCCAAAAUGGGUGGUAAAUUUCAUCUAAAGCUAAAUAUUGGCGAGAGACCGAUAGCGAACAAGUACCGUGAGGGAAAGAUGAAAAGAACUUUGAAAAGAGAGUUAAACAGUACGUGAAAUUGUCAAAAGGGAAGCGUUUGACACCAGUGUUGUUUUUCCGAAAAUCAAUUACGAAUGUUUUGUUUUUGAGGAGUUAUGACUUCAUCGGCUUGCUCCUUUCUUUACGAAACUUUCUUAAUGCACUUUUCGGUUAACAAGUCAACAUCAAUUUCUUUUGUUGUAAAAGGGUAUGAGGAAGGUGGCUUUCUUUUCGGAGAAAGUGUUUAUAGCCUUGUGCCUCUGCAAUCGGAGAGAUUGAGGUCUGCAGCGUAGAUCCUUCGGGGUUAGAUACGUUUGUGCUAAGUUAUAGCUUUUCAUAGACAACUUGUUGACUAUGUUUAGUCUUGUAGCUUACUCGCUGACGCUAUUUUACCUACGCUUAGGAUGUUGAUGUGAUACUGCGAGC